This 29-nucleotide non-coding RNA is filed under the name Rattus norvegicus (Norway rat). The record is from RNAcentral. Lineage: Eukaryota; Metazoa; Chordata; Mammalia; Rodentia; Muridae.
GCAAACCCUUGUAGAUCUAUCUGGUGCAG